CACCCUUGUCUGAACAGGGCAACACCACAGACAGUAAAAAGAGGUAAAACAGCUACAACUACUGUCUGGAGAGGGAAAUAUUCAAGUGAGGACCCAUCAUGAGUGUGGAGGGGGGGUGAGUCUGGGACGCCAGACACCACUGUUGAGCCUUGUGGAGGUGUUGUGGCCUAAUUCAAUGAAACGCCUAUGAAGGAAGCUCGUCAUUGAGAAGAUGUACGAAAGCCUUACUGCAGCCUACUGGAUUGGAGUGUGGCGUGCGCAUAGUGUAGCGUAAAAUAAAAGAGUAUGGCAGAUAGAUUUUUUUCUUAAUGUGACUUCUGUAUUCAGAAUCUGCCCAUCAAAUGAUCCCUCUUCCAUCAGCAGGUUGCAUAAAUUUACCCCUCACAACACACCUAUCUGGAACAACAGAUACAUUACUGUAAAGACGUCAUCCUUGUUUAUCAAGGACUGGCUAGAGAAAGGCAUCUGGUCAGUCCUGCAUUUAAUUGAUUAAUGGAUGUCUUUUAACAUAUCCAAGCUUUUGUUUUAAGUAUGAGUUAACCUGCAACAUUGAUACAUAUCAUUCUGUAUUUGAUGCACCUGACUCCAUGAACCUUUUUCACAGCAGCCAUUUCUUUACAUAAAAUAUGGCAGACCCAGGUGUUAGGAAUUACACUAAUUAAGGGUGUAAUUGUGCUAUACACACAUUGAACAGUGACUUCAUUAACAUAAUCAGUAACACCUGAGGUUGUCCUACUUUUUCAUGUCAAAAUGGCUGCUGUGAAAAAGGUCUAUUUUAGGCCUAAUAAGAGGAAUAAUUUCAGAUCCCAAUAUUUGUCCUUCCACAGCUCUUUGUUGAAGGUUGUGCCUUUAAGAGUUUUAGAUUCUCCAACAAAUGUCUUAGAAACCUAUUUAUCAACCUUACCCCUUAUUAACAUAUAGAAAUUCCAUUUUAAAAGUAUUUACAAAGAAUCGUAUACAGCUUUUGCGAACUGAAUACAUGAGAUAUCCCAUAAUGCCUAAGGCCAAAGAGCUACAUUUCAAAACUUUGAAUGGAAUAUACCCCUCCAACGAAUUAAUCAAAAGGCGCUUUGGGAUUGAAACUGAUAAUUGUGUAUUUUGUAAUUGGCUGGAAACCGCUGAGCAUCUGUUUGUCGAAUGUGUUUAUGUUAAAACCUUGUGGCUUGACCUUCAUAAUUCAGUCCUUUAUGUUAGAUAACUUUGACUUAAAGGACAUUAUAUAUGGACUCUUUACUGUGAAUGAUAUGAUGAUCUCUUAGUCAAUGUGAUUGUUAUUCUCUGUAAUGUUUUUAUACAUAAAUGUAAAUACUCAAAGGUUAAGCCCACAAUGAUUUCCUUUAUUAUACAAAAGCCCUUAAAUAUGAAGUCUAAGAAAGCAGUACAACUUUUGAACAGUGUUACAGAAUAUGAUUUAAUGACUAAGCCUUAGUUAUAUGUUUUUUUCUGUUGUAUUUUGUUUUUUUUCUGUUUUGAUUAUUAUUAUUAAUUUUUUUUCUCUCUUUGCUUCCUCCUUUUAAAUUACGCCUGAUCCUGUAGAUGGAUUCCUCAUGGAUUGUUUUGACCCAUGUUUAUUGUAGACUGACUACACAAAAUAUGGAAUAAUUACAAAAAAGUCUCUAUUUUUGCAUUUACU
Long non-coding RNA from Alosa alosa (allis shad), 1633 nucleotides. RefSeq lists it as uncharacterized. The record is from RefSeq and is a predicted model, not a curated record. The transcript is spliced from 3 exons. NCBI's taxonomy places the organism in Eukaryota, Metazoa, Chordata, Actinopteri, Clupeiformes, Clupeidae.